AAAAGUAGUAGAGUGUUCAACAUUAAAUUAUCGCUCCUCUGUGGUAAUGAGGAAUAAGGAGUUACUGAGUCUUCUAUCACAUUUUGACAAGAAAAAAUGGAUCGAAAAAAUAAUGUAACAGUAACUUAUGGUGGUUUCUGUAAUAUGCUAAGAUGUUAAUAUAGAUGAUGCAUAUGUGAACUAAACCAAAAUAUUCCCCUCACAUUACUUUAAUGGGGAAUACUUUGAGAUCAACUUGUCAACA
Molecule: unclassified non-coding RNA, 244 nt
Filed under: Hevea brasiliensis (rubber tree)
Lineage: Eukaryota; Viridiplantae; Streptophyta; Magnoliopsida; Malpighiales; Euphorbiaceae
Source: RNAcentral